RNAcentral lists this ribosomal RNA (449 nucleotides) under uncultured bacterium. RNAcentral describes it as "partial 16S ribosomal RNA". It matches the Rfam family "Bacterial small subunit ribosomal RNA", at positions 29 to 523 of the family's 1533-position model. The record is from RNAcentral.
AACGAACGCUGGCGGCAGGCUUAACACACGCAAGUCGAACGCAUCCUUCGGGGUGAGUGGCAGACGGGCGAGUAACGCGUGGGAACGUGCCCUUCAGUUCGGGAUAACCCAGGGAAACUUGGGCUAAUACCGGAUACGUGCGAGAGUAGAAAGAUUUAUCGCCAAAGGAGCAGCCCGCGUCUGAUUAGCUAGUUGGUGGGGUAACGGCCUACCAAGGCGACGAUCAGUAGCUGGUCUGAGAGGAUGAUCAGCCACACUGGGACUGAGACACGGCCCAGACUCCUACGGGAGGCAGCAGUGGGGAAUAUUGGACAAUGGGCGGAAGCCUGAUCCAGCAAUGCCGCGUGAGUGAUGAAGGCCUUAGGGUUGUAAAGCUCUUUUACCCGGGAUGAUAAUGACAGUACCGGGAGAAUAAGCUCCGGCUAACUUCGUGCCAGCAGCCGCCGUAA